This 492-nucleotide ribosomal RNA is filed under the name uncultured bacterium. Its description in RNAcentral is "partial 16S ribosomal RNA". It matches the Rfam family "Bacterial small subunit ribosomal RNA", at positions 29 to 507 of the family's 1533-position model. The record is from RNAcentral.
AGUGGACGCUGGCGGUAGGCCUAACACAUGCAAGUCGAACGGCAGCACAGUAAGAGCUUGCUCUUACGGGUGGCGAGUGGCGGACGGGUGAGGAAUACAUCGGAAUCUACUUUUUCGUGGGGGAUAACGUAGGGAAACUUACGCUAAUACCGCAUACGACCUACGGGUGAAAGCAGGGGAUCUUCGGACCUUGCGCGAUUGAAUGAGCCGAUGUCGGAUUAGCUAGUUGGCGGGGUAAAGGCCCACCAAGGCGACGAUCCGUAGCUGGUCUGAGAGGAUGAUCAGCCACACUGGAACUGAGACACGGUCCAGACUCCUACGGGAGGCAGCAGUGGGGAAUAUUGGACAAUGGGCGCAAGCCUGAUCCAGCCAUACCGCGUGGGUGAAGAAGGCCUUCGGGUUGUAAAGCCCUUUUGUUGGGAAAGAAAAGCAGCAGGCUAAUACCCCGCUGUUCUGACGGUACCCAAAGAAUAAGCACCGGCUAACUUCGUG